This 253-nucleotide ribosomal RNA is filed under the name uncultured bacterium. Its description in RNAcentral is "partial 16S ribosomal RNA". It matches the Rfam family "Bacterial small subunit ribosomal RNA", at positions 524 to 776 of the family's 1533-position model. The record is from RNAcentral.
UACGGAGGAUGCAAGCGUUAUCCGGAAUUACUGGGCGUAAAGCGUCUGUAGGUGGCUGUGAAAGUCAGAUGUGAAAUCGCGAGGCUUAACCGGGAACGUGCAGCUGAUACUGCAAGACUAGAGUGAUAGAGGGGUAGAGGGAAUUCCCAGUGUAGCGGUGAAAUGCGUAGAUAUUGGGAAGAACACCAGUGGCGAAGGCGCCCUACUGGGCCUUCACUGACGCUGAGGGACGAAAGCGAGGGGAGCGAACGGG